GUGAAGCCUGCAGGUACAGAGACCAACCCUGGCCCAGCUUGCACUGGUGGAGGUGGACUGGGAGAACUGGCAGCCAACACAUUACCCAUGCUGAGAAACCAUGACAGGGGGAGAGAUCACCAAAAUGCACACCAGGUCCCGGCCUGCCCCGUAACAAGCAUGCGGCGUUACAGCAAUUUUGCCACCGGAGGCAAUGACCUGACUGGUUCCUCGUGUUUGUCACACCAACGUCCAUCCUGCGAGUCUGCAGCAGGUUUUUGGCCUCCAGUUGAAACUCUUGCAAAUGGAUUGCCCUGAACAUUGGGUCCUGAUUGAGAGUUCAGUCCUCUGAGCUGCCCGUUCUGCUUGCCG
Molecule: long non-coding RNA, 351 nt
Organism: Silurus meridionalis
Lineage: Eukaryota; Metazoa; Chordata; Actinopteri; Siluriformes; Siluridae
Exons: 3
Source: RefSeq, a predicted model, not a curated record